This is a long non-coding RNA of Otolemur garnettii (small-eared galago), 270 nucleotides long. RefSeq lists it as uncharacterized. The record is from RefSeq and is a predicted model, not a curated record. The transcript is spliced from 3 exons. NCBI's taxonomy places the organism in Eukaryota, Metazoa, Chordata, Mammalia, Primates, Galagidae.
GCCUCUCUUCGGAGAAGAAAGUCUCCAAAGAAAGUAGGCAACAUGAGGAACCCCCCUGGGUGAACACGGGAGCUGCCGAGUGUUCAGGGCAGAAGGCCUGCCUGUAACGAGCAACCCAACUACAGGAUGAAAGAUCAGGUGCCUGUCUCUGGGAGAGUCCUGGUCCUGCCUCAGGAGGCCUUGAGAGUCUGCUCCUCAAUCAGCUGAUUCUUCUACUCAAAGGAACGGCCUUGCCAGAGACCCACCCUUUGAGAGCCUCAAGCUGUCCCC